Long non-coding RNA from Dermacentor albipictus, 560 nucleotides. RefSeq lists it as uncharacterized. NCBI's taxonomy places the organism in Eukaryota, Metazoa, Arthropoda, Arachnida, Ixodida, Ixodidae. The record is from RefSeq and is a predicted model, not a curated record.
CGCAACGAUCGGCCAGGCAUGGCCCCUAUUUCUUGUAGCCAGGCAAGUCUUGCGAGAUGGAAGCCGCGACAGCCUCUCCGCGAUCGCUCGCCCCGCGGGCGAAAUAGGCCGGAAUUAACUAGAGGCCUACAGCUGAGCUCUUUUAUGGGCGGCCGCGCACGCUCGAGUAAACGGCCUGCAUCGUUCGCGGAAGCGCCAACACGGCGACGCGCACGCGAAAGCGUUCGUUUGGGUAUACGGUCUCGAAGGACUAUACGAAGGAUGCCUUAAUGAAGGAGGCUUCGAGAUUCAUUUCGGCCCCACGAGCUUCUCUGACGUACACCGCCGUGUCAGUAUGCACGAGCGUUCUUGCAUUCCGCAGAAUGGCACGGGGCACGGCAGCCGGGAUUCCAACCCGGCAGGAGAUCCGCUCGAUCCUGGAAGACGAACUCUGGGCCGCCCAGCUGGCCGAGGAGGCCGCCAGGGCUAAAGGGCUGCUGACCGCCGCUUAAGCUUGGGCUUGUGCCCCUAAACUGUUGGACACUAAAUAAAGUAAUCUCUCUCUCUUCUCUAUAAGGACA